Molecule: long non-coding RNA, 676 nt
Filed under: Homo sapiens (human)
Lineage: Eukaryota; Metazoa; Chordata; Mammalia; Primates; Hominidae
Description: HSALNT0223211
Source: RNAcentral
UAGUGCUGGGAUUACAGGUGUGAGCCACUGCCCCUGGCCUAAUACAGGUGUCUUUAAUUGGACAAACUUGAAAACCAACAAAUACACUUGCAGCACUAGACAUUUGGGGAACUGUCUUUCAGCAAAUUGGCUGCUUCGCAGGUGGACCACUUGGGAGCAUCUGCAGAGGCAAGUGCCCUGUGGUGGCUGGAACAGACAGGGGUUCUUUGUCUCAGGCAGGAAGUCCCAGAUGCACAGUCUAAGCUGGCGGGACCUGGAGCUGACUGGCCCUCAGCCACACCGUCCUUGUCACAGCAGCCUCCCCUCCACUCCUGCUUGCCACAGAUGGUGUCCUCCCUUCCAGGGCUCUUGCAGUGUUCUGGGCAGGAAGAAGGAGAGGGAAAAGGGCUGACUCCCAGCGAGGGACUUGUGCCUUUUUCUCCCGAGCCAGUACUGUGUCCCAGACCCCCCUAGUUGCAAGGGAGCGGCAGUGGGGUGUGUUUUCAGCAGGUCCCAUUGCUGUCUUGAACAAAAUCAGAAUCUGUUGGUGAGGAAAGAGGGGGACGGAUGUGGGACUGGCAGCUCAGGGGAGGGACAACUUACUCUCGGGACCACGGGGCAGGGGGUGGAGCAGAGAAGGCAGAGCCACCAGCAGAGGGGGUCCUGCAGCUGGGCCUCAACAGGCAGUAUGGAAGUG